GAUGAAGAACGCAGCGAAAUGCGAUAAGUAAUGUGAAUUGCAGAAUUCAGUGAAUCAUCGAAUCUUUGAACGCAUCUUGCGCUCCUUGGUAUUCUGAGGAGCAUGCCUGUUUGAGUGUCAUUAAAUUCUCAACUACACUGACUUUGAAUUGGUGUGGCUUGGAUUUGGGGGGAAAAUUGUUGUGGGCUUUUUGUAAAGUCUGCUCCCCUGAAAUUGAUUAGCGGUACCUUUGUGGAACUGUCUACAGGUGUGAUAAUUAUCUACAUCUUAGACAUCUGCUGGAAUGCUGCUUUCUAAACCUUACUUGUAUUGACAAUCUUGACCUCAAAUCAGGUAGGACUACCCGCUGAACUUAAGCAUAUCAAUAAGCGGAGGA
This 376-nucleotide unclassified non-coding RNA is filed under the name soil metagenome. RNAcentral's name for it is "partial contains 5.8S ribosomal RNA, internal transcribed spacer 2, and large subunit ribosomal RNA". The stretch from base 1 to 120 matches the Rfam family "5.8S ribosomal RNA", at positions 35 to 154 of the family's 154-position model. The record is from RNAcentral.